CUUUGAUGUAUGUUUACACAGUUUAGAUCUUAAUUAUGUUUACGUUUACCUAUCAUGUCUGUUUGGAUUAAAUACCCAAAUUUGCAAAUAUAACGGAAAUGUAAACAACUCUCAUACACACGCGGGUUUUGCUAGCUAUAACACCAGGAUUAACCCACUAGUGUCUCCGACCGACCGUGCGAGGGCUGAAAAGCCAGUCAAGGUCGUUAAACACUUCCAUAAAUAUAGUGUCUCCGUAAAAUACUUGUGCCCAUUCAGGAAAAUGGCAGAAAUUUUCAUUUGUUCCGUUGAUUCAAUGCGUUUGAAUUUGCCACUUUUUACGGAAUUUCUUUAAUGAAUAUUUUUCAUCAUGGCAAUGCAUUUCGUUUAUGAGAUAUCAAUUAUUGGACUAUUAAAAAACACCAGUAGUUUAUCGAUGUGCUCAUCUAAUAGAUCUGUUGAAAAUAAAUUAAAAACACAACACGAUUAGAUAAGCAUUUACGACUGUACUGGUCAAUUUUGUUAUUUUCCUAUAAUUGUAGUUCGUCUAAGCUAUGUAAAGUAUAGUUCUCAAAAUAACUAUCAAAAAGGCAAAACAAAUAUGGUAAGAAUGAUAAAAACUCAAAACACUCAGGGAAAGGCAUACACUUCACAGUGAGUUGUUAUAGAGCAACCGCAUAUGAUGUAUGACAUGCCAGAUGUAAAUGGGAUAGUGGAUGGUGC
Molecule: long non-coding RNA, 702 nt
Filed under: Mytilus galloprovincialis (Mediterranean mussel)
Lineage: Eukaryota; Metazoa; Mollusca; Bivalvia; Mytilida; Mytilidae
Source: RNAcentral